Long non-coding RNA from Solanum dulcamara, 517 nucleotides. RefSeq lists it as uncharacterized. The record is from RefSeq and is a predicted model, not a curated record. The transcript is spliced from 2 exons. Lineage: Eukaryota; Viridiplantae; Streptophyta; Magnoliopsida; Solanales; Solanaceae.
CUGAGUUAUUGAUGUCUAUAUAAACAAAAAAAAAUGAAGUAUGAUGCAUGUAAUAAACAGAGUUAGGCUUCAUCAUCAACUUGUUCGAGCUAGUUUGAUAUACUCACGUACUUAUACAUCAAAUUAGAGCAAGAAUGUCUACCUCAAAAGGCAAAACAAUUGAGAAGAAUUGGGAGAAGUUGGUCGAUACGAGACAAGAGAUAGAUCAACGAACAAACUAUAUUAAAAAUCAUCAAGAAAGUGGAACUGAUUCGAGGAAAGGAAGAUUUGAGGCCACAAGUGAUCUUUGGAAAUUGAAGGAUAAAGAGGAUCAACUCGAAGACAGAUUAGAGAGAUAUGGAGUUCCUAAAAGAAUGAUAUAACACUAUUUAUUUAUUUAUUUAUUGCUUGCCAGUUAUUUACUAGAAUGUUUAGAUUCUACUUAGUCCAUAGAUUUUGAUUUUGGAUUUUUCUAGAUUUGUUACUAAGAGUUCAAGUUUUUUCCAUAUAUUAAAAUAAAGAAACGUUUAGUUUAAAA